GACGAACGCUGGCGGCGUGCUUAACACAUGCAAGUCGAACGGAAAGGCCCUGCUUUUGUGGGGUGCUCGAGUGGCGAACGGGUGAGUAACACGUGAGUAACCUGCCCUUGACUUUGGGAUAACUUCAGGAAACUGGGGCUAAUACCGGAUAGGAGCUCCUGCUGCAUGGUGGGGGUUGGAAAGUUUCGGCGGUUGGGGAUGGACUCGCGGCUUAUCAGCUUGUUGGUUGGGUAGUGGCUUACCAAGGCUUAGACGGGUAGCCGACCUGAGAGGGUGACCGGGGUCAAGGGGACUAAGGGAGGGAGCAGUCGGGAACGGGAGGCAACGGGGGGAAGCAUGACAGAGUGAGCGGGAGUGUGAGACAAAGGCGUCGGGUGCGGAAUGACGGCUUUCGGGGUAAGAAAAGCUGUAGCCUGAGACGAAGCGGGAGUGACGGUAAUGAAUAAAGAAGCACCGGCUAACUACGUG
RNAcentral lists this ribosomal RNA (468 nucleotides) under uncultured bacterium. RNAcentral's name for it is "partial 16S ribosomal RNA". It matches the Rfam family "Bacterial small subunit ribosomal RNA", at positions 28 to 507 of the family's 1533-position model. The record is from RNAcentral.